AUCUUUGUGCUUGGGACAAUACGAUAGUGUGUGAAGCUUAGCUGAUACAUCGUGAUUGCUAAUUGAAAACUUAUCCAAUCACCGUGCCCUGGUCAAUUUCUGUCUUACCCCUUUUAGGGG
RNAcentral lists this small nuclear RNA (120 nucleotides) under Phytophthora megakarya. Its description in RNAcentral is "U4 spliceosomal RNA". It matches the Rfam family "U4 spliceosomal RNA". From Rfam's summary of the family: U4 small nuclear RNA (U4 snRNA) is a component of the major U2-dependent spliceosome. Lineage: Eukaryota; Oomycota; Peronosporomycetes; Peronosporales; Peronosporaceae. The record is from Rfam by way of RNAcentral.